CAUUAUUGUCUGCUGCGCAUCGUACGGACUAUAACUUCAAAUGCGACUGAACUACAUUGUAUGUCCGAUGUUUCAUAAUAUGAUAAAGAUCUACAGCUCUCCUUACAUAAUCUUUACUCUCAAACAUUAGACCUUUGGAAAAUUCAGUCAUCGAGGAGUCCCAAAACUGAUAGUAAGAGUUUAAUCUUCGACCAGCACUAACACAACCACCAUCAUCUAAAUUUAUAUCGUUAAAAAAUUAUGGAG
This 246-nucleotide long non-coding RNA is filed under the name Elaeis guineensis (African oil palm). RNAcentral's name for it is "long non-coding RNA (EGUI_LNC077301)". Lineage: Eukaryota; Viridiplantae; Streptophyta; Magnoliopsida; Arecales; Arecaceae. The record is from RNAcentral.